Molecule: long non-coding RNA, 245 nt
Organism: Mesocricetus auratus (golden hamster)
Lineage: Eukaryota; Metazoa; Chordata; Mammalia; Rodentia; Cricetidae
Exons: 3
Source: RefSeq, a predicted model, not a curated record
CAUCUUUUCCCACCAUUCAACUCACAGAGGUGCUAGCUCAGAUGAAUUUUCCAGCCUGCAAUUGGCUUUCGGAUGUUUAGUUACCAGUAUGAGGUCUGCUAGGUGUGACCACUGCGAGUUCCAGUGCAGGCUUGGAUGGAGGUCUGCUUGAGUUGGGGGCUAAGAAGGAGAGCAUUGCAGCCUGAAGCAAUAUGCCACAUUUUCAGUAGGACCUCAGUGUUUGGGAAAGAAAGUCAAAAGAUUAA